AAGUCAGUGUUUCAGCUGUUUUACAAAUCAACCCAUAUAAUUGUUUACUAAAAUAUUUCUUCAUUGCUCCUGUAACAAUAAAACUUAAUAAAUCUGUUGUGUUUUUAUUAGACCUUUAUAUCAGUGUUUUCAGAGUCCAGGUGUCAUUUAUUAGAGAAACUCAACAUCUGCUUUAUUAUAAAUACAUUUUCUUUCUAGUUUGCUUUUUUUCUUUUAAAAAAAAGUAUACCCACCUAAAUUAAAAAAAUAAAAAACAAACAUUAUGUCUUGACUGUCUGGUUGUUGAUUCUCAGUUGUCUAAAGUAGGUUUGAUUCAUUUUUCAUCAGGAUGUUUUAAGAGGUUAUGAAGAGCUUUAAAAACCCAACCUACUGCAGAGAUGAGAUAUUAUCCCACUUUCUCAGUCAGGAGAACAUCUGAUUGGCUGCUGGUUCUCUCUUCUUUUUUCUUAAGCAUUUGGAGGAUAGAACAAAUUAUUAUGGUGGUAUUUGCAAUGUAUGUAGUGGACAGUUUAUUGAAGAUCUUAACUGUAAUGUGCCAGGUCUCUGGCAACUCUACUGUUGCCUUUAAUCAUAGCCUUACCCAGUCAACUGUGUGGCUGUUUGGCGCCAGCAAUAUUUCUAAGUUGCGUCCUAUUUUUCUGCUUGGCUUUGAAAAUUGUAAUAUGUGUUGUUCAGAAUAGAGCACAUUAAUCUGGGUUUUCAGUCUUUUUUUCCCCUUCAUGUUAUUAGGAGAAGGAGAACCACAAAAAGAUAUUUGCUGUUAAUUGAACUAACUUUUUUUUUGUUUUCGUUCAUUUAUUUUUCUCUCCACAGAAGCUGCACCUGAUGAGGCAUUCAGUUUCGGCUGUGGGGCCGUACUGGAAGAGGACAUUGGUUGAGAUAAUGCUGUCAUCAGCAAAUCCUUCUUCAUAUUCUGCUCUUAACUUUUUAUGAACAUCAAAAAUAAUCCAACAUCAGUUCUACUUUUUUUGUUUGUUUGUUUUUUCGGGUGUGUGUGUAUCUGCUCCAAUCCCCAGUCGGUCGUCAUCGCUUGUAUUGAGCCGGGUUCUGCUGGAGGUGUCUUCCAGUUUAAGGAGAGUUUUUCCAUUCCACUGUCACCACUUGCAUGACGGACCACUUUAAAGUCAACAACUCAAUGCGAGCGGUUUCCUGCUGUUGCUACGUGCUCAUCCAGGAGGAGUGAAUGAUAAAAAUCAAUAACUCAAUAGCAUCUGCCAAAUUAACCUUGCUGUAUUGUUUAACUAAGAUCAAUUGAAAUGUAUCUGUGAUAGAACUGAAAUGAUUAAUGUACUUUUUGUGUUGCAGAUGCUGCCAUAUCACAGUGCAAUUGGAGCUAUCUGAACAUUGCACUGAUCAGAUGGAAAUAACGAAAUGAGUUGGUCCUUUCUGAUCAAACAAAAACAUAAAUUUCUUCUUUUUGUAAGCAGAACAAGCAAUGUAAAACAGGCCACUAGCAAUAUACUGCUAAAAUCGGAGUCUGUAGCAUAUUUUAUGUCACAUGGCUGCAGGUGGGAUGGGAACUCGGGUGCCAACACUGCAGCUUGAGAGAAUAAGGUGAUGCCUGUGCCUGGCGGGUUUUGUCUCUCCAAAGACAAAAACUAAAGCUGUUUGAGAAUAUUUCUAAUUGUUUCACACCAAAGAAAAAAACUGCUGCGCUCUUCAGUUAAGUUUGAUUCUAUAAUUGAAGAUGCUGCAUCCAUCCAUCGACUUACCCAAUGCUGGAGCCCUUCAUCAUGUCGCUGAUGGAUCCGCUACCAACAUCAAUAAUCUAUCUACAAAUCAAUGUCACAGACGUUUGCCAUAUAGAAUAUUUUUUAAUGUUUUCUCAUGUUGAAAAACCUAAGGUUUGUGCUAACCAUAAUAUGUACACAACCCACAACCCUGUGCAUGUUUUGUUCUAACUCUGAGCAUGCGUAUGUGUUAAUAUCUAAAUUAAGUCACCAAGAAACCAGGCCAUACAUGUCAAAAUGAACUGCAGAAUAGCAUGGUGCCUCUCAACUUUGCUGUGAUAAUAAUAUCAAGUCUUUUUUAGCAAUUACAUUGACUGCUUUGAGUGUGGUAAGUACCAGAAUAGCAGUGGUUGUCAAAUUUGCUACUUAAGGUAUUAAUGAGCAGUGACUCUUUUCUCCAAGAUAAGUGCUCAACCAUAGUUACAACUUAAAUGUUUAAGCACAUGUACACAAAAAUGCUCCCCACUUUUUGUGAACGUAAGUGGGAAAACAAAAGGUAAUUUGUUGUUUAGGAAUGGUGCAGUAUGAGCAUACUUCAGCCAGGGAUAGAACUUUAAAUUUUUCCAGGGGAAAGAAACUUAAUGAACAAAACUAUCCUAACUUGGAUAGCGCAGUCGAUUACAUACAUAUGUACCUUAGUACCUAAAAAUACUAGGUUAAAGUCCUGUUUCCGACAGACACCGACCUUUAAAAGUUGGAGUUCUCCCAACUUUUUUGUAAACAGGA
This is a long non-coding RNA of Xiphophorus couchianus (Monterrey platyfish), 2456 nucleotides long. RefSeq lists it as uncharacterized. The transcript is spliced from 2 exons. The record is from RefSeq and is a predicted model, not a curated record. Lineage: Eukaryota; Metazoa; Chordata; Actinopteri; Cyprinodontiformes; Poeciliidae.